AUUGUUUGACAUCAUCUGAUUUUGUUCCAGAUGAACCGAAGUUCAACUUCUCGUUUAAUAAGGAUGAUGGUACCAUCAACCUUGAGACUGCCAGUCUGGUGCCAGCAAACUAUACCUGGAUGUUUUGCUCUAAGUCCAAUGACAGCUGUGUCCCAAAUGCCUCUAAAACAGUCUCUGAAACAGACUCUAAUUUUUCCUGCAACAAGCCGAUCAAGAGCUCAGUGAGCAAAGACGUGGUGAAAGGAGACCAAUUCAGGUUUUGCCUGACAAACUCAGUUGGAUCCUGGUGCCAAACCCAUUACCCAGUAUUCUCUAAAGGGGGGCUACCUACUUAUAACAACAUGAUGGUGCUAAAAGUAUGCAGUUUGCUUCUGCUUCUGGCUUGGCUGUAGCCAGUAAAGUGCUCAUGUACCUCAUCAAAAAUAAGCUCUGUUAUAAUGCUAUAACCACCAGACCUUCAGCAAUUGUCACAAUGCAUCGACCACUGUGGACAUUUCUGAGUGAUGAAACACAAAACAGGGCACUGUCACCUGCUGACUGCUGACACAUCUGACUCAGACAUUCUGGAAUCUGAAAAGAAUCUUCUGUAACCAUCAGAUACACAGUGAUCACCUAUAUAACAUUUUAUCCAUACAACAUGUCACUUGAUAAUUUAGAGUAAAAUGGACAGUCUUUAUAUUUUAUUUAAAUAUAGGAAGAGAUUUAUACUUAUAGGUAGGAUUGGAAAACGUAAUAAGCCUAUGUUUGAAACAACAGAACACAACAAAGUGUUUAAAAAAACAAAGUUUUUUUUAGUUAUAUAAGGUGUAGAUAUACCCGCUCUAGAUUUAUUCAAUGUAUAACAUUGUUACAUGGAAAUAAACUUCUUCCUUAAGUAAAACUUUUUCAGACACAUCAAGAUUUUUUUCUUGGGCUUUCUCAGUACAUGUUAAUGGAUUUUUCUUUUAGAGUGGAUUGUAUUGUGACAUGUUGAAGUGUUAUACCUGAAGUACAAUCAGUUUUAUUCAAUAAAGAAAAAAACCUGCUGUCCAGUGUACUGACCUGAACACCGCAGUUUUGUGUAUCCCCUAAAUCUUUCUGAAUAUAGCUUUAUUUUCAGUGCGGGUCUGCAGCGGUCGGUAGCUAACAUGAAGGCGACCAGAUGACAGAAAAAACAACCACAACAGACUUCACUUGUUUUCCGGAGCUCUGGAUAGAUUUCUCUUACAGAUACAAAGGUUCAACACUCUCACCAGCGGCACAGCCCCGCCCACAAAAAACCCUCCUUAAAUAGCCACCGAUCAUACCACCAAUAAAAUUUAAGAGAUUCCCCCUACACACUCUAGCUACAAAUAAACAUAUACAGUGAAAUAUAUGACUACAAACUCCAGUUAAAUAAAAUAGAAACUAGCUAAUUCAGCCCACUCCCACCCUCAGCUCUCAUCUAAUGGUUUACCCCAAUUCCUUUCAGGUGGAUGUCAUUAGCCUGUAAUCAUGUGUGCACUCCGUGAAUCAGCCCUUCAAUAAGUUGCCCUCAAAAGAGAGAGUGGACUUCAAAAUAAAAGCAUAACAAAACCGAAACUUCCUAUCAGACAUUGCAAGUGUGUGCUUCACCUUAGUGAGGGAGAUGCUUCCCCACCACCCACACAGGGUCUUUUAGCUCACUUGUAAUAUUUUCCUGCUCCCACUUGAUCCACCACUGUGUGAAGCCUUGUGAUGAUCUCACUACUAGUCUGCUGCUGUUUUGAGUGGAUAUCCACACACUAGGGGAUGCCAGAGGUCAGAGUUUUCAUGCUGGAUAUGGAUUCUGCAUCUAGUGUGUUACCAUGAAUCAUAGACAUUUGAGCAGUAAAUGCUCUUCGUUGCGAGGAUUUUGUGGAUACUUUGGGUAACGUGGUGGAGAAACGUCCUGUUAUAACAGCUGCUCUGUGGACGAUGCGUCCUAUUGUAAGUUUAAAUGCUCUGGAGGCUGUCGUCAGUGACUUCAUCCAUGAGCUCCUAGAAUCAAGUAAUACAAUGAUUCAGCUGUGAUGAGGUUUUACACAUCUGUUUUAGGGGCUGCUGCAAGUGGACACUGAUGUAUACACACAUUCAUAAAUAUGACUGUUGUCUGUGCUUGCUGAGGUGACUAAGCAACUAACUCCAAAGCUUGAACCUACUCACAGAUCCUCACUAUUGUGUGUUGGGAUCUUGGGAAUUAAUUCAUCACAGUUACGGCUAAUAGAGGGCAUGACCUCUCGCUUUUUGAUGCAUUUCUGGCUUAAAUCUUGAGGCCAAGUUACUGAGUAUGGCAGUAAUGGCAUUGGUCUGCUAGUCUGAGAAAGUGUACUAGUGAAGGUAGACUAGUAGCUUUCCCAUGACUCGCUCAAGCUGUUCAGGUUGUGGUCUAUAUAGGCAUGACUGGAGUCUUCUCUAACUGCAUUUAGGCUUGGUACGCGUCUUACAGAUUCUUACUCUACUUCCAUGUGUCACAGAUGCAAGGUCUUACUGUUUCUUCCCAGGUACACACUGGCUCAGUAAAGGUGAGGUGAGGUCUAGUUCUGUUGAUCACUGGUUUUGACCUGUGAGUAAAGGCUGAAGUACCUGGAGGAAGCUAACAUUUACAAUAAGCACUUUCAAAUUCAACAAAGAAAGGCCUUGGAGAGGUCCUUAAUCAGCAAUCUCUGUAAUGUGCACAAACUAGCAAAGUCUUGUAUUACCCUGCACACCCCUGGAGGAAAUGGUGUUCAAUAGAACCCUUCCUAAACCCUUCACUCUCUCCCAGUGCUGCUGAAAGGGGAUUGGGUCUCCUCAACAAAUCUGUCUUUUAAUAAUACCACAUCCCGUCAAAUCAGAUCGGUCCCAAUGACCCAUUCGCCAUCACAGGGUUACAUCUCCACCUAUCAGAGCCACACUUUAAGCAACAGUAAACCAUGGAUGCUGUACAAUCCAGUCCUGCUUUGAGUGCAUCUACAGUGCAGGGAGGUUUGCCACUGCUUCUCUCCCAUCAACCCAGUUAUGGCAAGUUGGCUGUGCAGCAGACAGUGCCUUUUACAUCUGGUAAAUAUUCUCCAGGGCCUGUAACUAAUCCAGUCAGCCAUUUUCAUAGCCUAGGUACUUGCCUUUUCUUCUUCUUGAAUCACAGUUGGGGGUGAUAGUACAAAUGUGUAUGUGUGUGUGUGUGGGGGGGGGUUAUAAACUAUUUCCUGCUUCUCGGUCACUCUUGAAUCCUCUGCAGGACUGGACUAGUCAGGGGAAUAAUCUAUUACUUAUCUAUGCAGCUGCCCUAACAAAGAAGCCUCGUGUUGUUUUCUUCUUGUUAGGACAGCUGCAUGGAUGGGGGGAUUAAAGUGAAUACUUUGAAAAGAAGAACAAAAUGUAAUAUUACUACUUUUGACUUAGACAAAAAAAAAAAAAAAACUAUUUGUACUGAAACUAAUUUCUCCUUUGCUCACAAAUGAAAUCUGGGCCAAAGUGUAUCAUGUUAUCUCUUCUGUAACACUGUAUCUUUAAAAAAAAUGUCUGCACACCUAGAUAAGUGUAGACAAAAAAACCUUUUCAUAAGCAAUUCAGCUGAAGGCCAGCACACUAUGUGCUCACUGCUGGGAUAUUUCUUGAAUUACAAGAUUUCAGUCAGGAAGCCUAUUGGCAGCAUCUAUGCAUGUUUCUAUGUUACCUCAGAAAGAUCUUCCUGAUUAAGGAUUCCACCAGGAAGCAAAACAGAUCCAUUUAGGAGGGACCGAGAGGCACCCUGGGAUAAUUCUCCAUCGCCCGGCAGACAGUUUUUGUGAUCAGGUAAUGCCAAUAUUUCAACCCUGUUUGCAUUCAUCUGUGCUUUUCCUGUGUUUCUAGUUAGAGGUGCUGUAUUUCACCCGUGAAGGCAGUUUACCUAUUAGAUGUAUGGAGUAAGUUACAUUAUCAGUACUAGUAUUAACAUGACUUCACUUUUAUAGCUAAAGACAAGUUGAGUCCUGUUAUUCUGCUUGUGUGUGGAUCACUUUGUGCAGAUAAGGAGCUUUCUUUCUCAAGCCAGUUUCGCUCCCCCGGCUCCCAAGGCU
This 4016-nucleotide long non-coding RNA is filed under the name Oreochromis niloticus (Nile tilapia). RNAcentral describes it as "lncRNA (ENSONIG00000041117.1)". The record is from RNAcentral. Lineage: Eukaryota; Metazoa; Chordata; Actinopteri; Cichliformes; Cichlidae.